This 420-nucleotide ribosomal RNA is filed under the name Helicops angulatus. RNAcentral describes it as "partial 16S ribosomal RNA". It matches the Rfam family "Bacterial large subunit ribosomal RNA", at positions 1911 to 2550 of the family's 2925-position model. Lineage: Eukaryota; Metazoa; Chordata; Lepidosauria; Squamata; Dipsadidae. The record is from RNAcentral.
AGUGAACAAUUAAACGGCCGCGGUACCCUAACCGUGCAAAGGUAGCAUAAUCAUUUGUCUAUUAAUUGUAGACCAGUAUGAAUGGGCAAAUGAGGGUCNNACUGUNUCNUAUAAUUNAUCNAUUAAACUGAUCUNCUAGUAAAAAAGUUAAGAUANNCCCAUNAGACCAGAAGANCCUGGGAAGCUUAAACUAAACUAUUAUACUCCAUAAUAACUACUUUCGGUUGGGGCGAACUUGGAAAAAAAAAGAACUUCCAAACAAUGACCAUAAAUCAUCCCACCAACUAGGCCUACAAGCCCAUAGACCCAGUCUAACUGAUAAACGAACCAAGUUACUCCAGGGAUAACAGGGCCAUCUUCUUUCAGAGCCCAUAUCAAAAAGAAGGCUUACGACCUCGAUGUUGGAUCAGGACAUCCUAA